Molecule: ribosomal RNA, 209 nt
Filed under: uncultured bacterium
Lineage: Bacteria
Description: partial 16S ribosomal RNA
Rfam family: Bacterial small subunit ribosomal RNA
Source: RNAcentral
UCGGAUCGCAGGCUGCAACUCGCCUGCGUGAAGUUGGAAUUGCUAGUAAUCGCGGAUCAGCAUGCCGCGGUGAAUACGUUCCCGGGCCUUGUACACACCGCCCGUCACACCAUGGGAGUUUGUAACACCCGAAGUCAGUAUCCUAACCGCGAAGGGGGGAGCUGCCGAAGGUGGGAUAAGCGACUGGGGUGAAGUCGUAACAAGGUAGC